This is a non-coding RNA of Bacteroides sp. CAG:702, 33 nucleotides long. NCBI's taxonomy places the organism in Bacteria, Pseudomonadati, Bacteroidota, Bacteroidia, Bacteroidales, Bacteroidaceae. The record is from Rfam.
GGAGCGGAAACCGAAAAGCUUAUAGAGUAGGUA